Molecule: ribosomal RNA, 274 nt
Filed under: uncultured bacterium
Lineage: Bacteria
Description: partial 16S ribosomal RNA
Rfam family: Bacterial small subunit ribosomal RNA
Source: RNAcentral
AUACGGAGGGUGCAAGCGUUACUCGGAAUCACUGGGCGUAAAGCGCGCGCAGGCGGCUAUUUAAGUUGGAUGUGAAAGCCUAUGGCUCAACCAUAGAACUGCAUCCAAAACUAUUUAGCUAGAGUGUGGGAGAGGAAGAUGGAAUUAGUUGUGUAGGGGUAAAAUCCGUAGAGAUAACUAGGAAUACCAAAAGCGAAGGCAAUCUUCUGGAACACUACUGACGCUGAGGUGCGAAAGCGUGGGGAGCAAACAGGAUUAGAAACCCUAGUAGUCC